UAGAUAGCCUGCAUGUCUAGUAUAAGCAUUCUUGUACUGUGARACUGCGAACGGCUCAUUAAAUCAGUUAUAAUUUACUUGAUCGUAUUUACCUUACAUGGAURACCGUAGGAAUUCUAGAGCGUAAUACAUGAMAAARAUCCGGACCUACUCUUUUGGAGGAAAGGAUGAAUUUAUUAVAUUACCAACCAACGCAGGGYAUUUAAACUAUAAUGGGACUUGUUCCUAUAUGGGCUCUGUUCCCUCUUUUGGGAYACAWCAAGGUGAUUCACAAUAACUAAUCGAAUCGCAGAGGCAUUUAUGUCGGCGAUGAUACAUACAAAUUUCUGCCCUAUCAACUUUCGAUGGYAGUAUARAGGACUACCAUGGUGAUAACGGGUAACGGGGAAUUAGGGUUCGAUUCCGGAGAGGGGGCCUGAGAAAUGGCCACCACUUCCAAGGAAGGCAGCAGGCGCGCAAAUUACCCAAUCCUAAUUCAGGGAGGUAGUGACAAGAAAUACCAAUGCAAGCAUAUUGUUUUGUGUUUGGAAUGAGUGUAAUUUAAAAACCUUAUCAAGGAACCAUUGGAGGGCAAGUCUGGU
RNAcentral lists this ribosomal RNA (581 nucleotides) under uncultured Lobosea. RNAcentral describes it as "SSU rRNA". It matches the Rfam family "Eukaryotic small subunit ribosomal RNA", at positions 40 to 567 of the family's 1831-position model. Lineage: Eukaryota; Tubulinea. The record is from RNAcentral.